UCCAGACUCCUACGGGAGGCAGCAGUAGGGAAUUUUGCGCAAUGGGGGAAACCCUGACGCAGCAACACCGCGUGAAUGUUAAGCCCUUCGGGGUGUAAAGUUCUGUCAAUAGGGACGAAUUUUGACUGUACCUAUAAAGGAAGCACCGGCUAACUCCGUGCCAGCAGCCGCGGUAAUACGGAGGAUGCGAGCGUUAUCCGGAUUUAUUGGGUUUAAAGGGUGCGUAGGCGGCAUUAUAAGUUAGUGGUAAAAUAUUGGGGCUUCACCUCACUACGCCAUUAAUACUGUAGAGCUAGAGAACAGACGAGGUAGGCGGAAUAAGUUAAGUAGCGGUGAAAUGCAUAGAUAUAACUUAGAACACCGGUAGCGAAGGCAGCUUACCAGACUGAGUCUGACGCUGAUGCACGAGAGCAUGGGUAGCGAACAGGAUUAGAUACCCUCGUA
This 444-nucleotide ribosomal RNA is filed under the name uncultured bacterium. RNAcentral's name for it is "partial 16S ribosomal RNA". It matches the Rfam family "Bacterial small subunit ribosomal RNA", at positions 330 to 792 of the family's 1533-position model. The record is from RNAcentral.